AUGGAGGGGCUGCCGGCGCAGGUGGAGGUUCCAUCGUACUUCCUGUGCCCGAUCUCCAUGGAGAUCAUGCGGGACCCUGUGACGCUCUCGUCCGGGAUCACCUACGACCGGGAAAGCAUCGAGCGCUGGGUGUUCACCGACGGCCACGGUGAGUGCCCGAUGACCAAGCAGCAGCUCGGCGCCGCCGACCGGGAGCCCACGCCCAACCACACGCUCCGCCGGCUCAUCCAGGGCUGGUGCGCGGUGCACGCGGUCGAGAGGUUCCCCACCCCGCGCGCUCCCAUCGAUGCCGCGCGCGUGGAAACCAUCGUGGACGCGGCCAGGCGGGGGCACGACCUGCUGGUGGCGUCCCUGAGGGAGCUCGCGGACAUCGUCGCCGAGAGCGAUUGCAACCGGCGCUGCGUCGAGAGCACACCGGGCGCCGUGGCGUUCCUCGUGUCCGUCGUCAAGAAGCACGCCGCAGACGACACCCCCAAGCCUUUAGAAUCCCAGGAGGAUCAGAUGUUCGGCUCCGUGGUCGAUCCGCCAAAGGCGAGCUCGCCGGAGGACGUAGCGUUAAGUAUUCUGUAUUCGCUUAGACUCUCCGAGGGAAGCUGGAAGAGAGUCUUGGAACGCGGCGACAAUUUCUUGGACACCAUGGCGUCGGUGCUGAGGCGGCCAAGCUAUCUCUCGCGCACGCACGGCAUCCAGCUUCUCAAGGCGGCGGUUUCGGAGAUGCCGCCAGCGCAGCUGACCUCGGCAAGCGCCGAGCUGGUGGAGGGAGUGGUGUCGGUGGUGACAGAUAAGCUUUCCGGGAAGGCGGUCAAGAUCGCACUCCAGGUGCUCUGCCGGCUUUGCCUCUGGGGCCGGAACCGCGUCAAGGCCGUCGAAGCCGGCGCCGUCGGGGCGCUCGUGGAGUUGCUCCUCGAUGAGUGCUGCGGAGGAAGCAAGCGGGCAUCCGAGCUCGCGAUCGUGGUAAUGGACCAUCUCUGUGGCUGCGCUGAAGGGCGUUUGGAGCUUGUGGCGCACCCGGCAGGUCUGGCGGUUAUGGCGAGGGCGGUGACACGAGUGUCCGCCGCAGGGACGGAGAGCGCGGUGCGCGCCCUGCACGCGGUGGCGAGGCACUCGGCGACCCCAACGGUGUUGCAGGAGAUGCUGGCGGUCGGGGUGGUGGGGAGGCUGCUGUUCCUGGUGCAGACCGGCGCCGCCGGCGAUCGGCCGAGGGAAAGGGCGAGGGAGAUGCUCAAGAUGCACGCCAGGGUGUGGAGAGGCUCGCCGUGCUUCACGCCACAACUGAAUGCACCCUACCCUUCUUGA
RNAcentral lists this ribosomal RNA (1296 nucleotides) under Triticum aestivum (bread wheat). RNAcentral describes it as "partial small subunit ribosomal RNA". Lineage: Eukaryota; Viridiplantae; Streptophyta; Magnoliopsida; Poales; Poaceae. The record is from RNAcentral.